Molecule: long non-coding RNA, 317 nt
Filed under: Marmota monax (woodchuck)
Lineage: Eukaryota; Metazoa; Chordata; Mammalia; Rodentia; Sciuridae
Source: RNAcentral
UCAGCAACUCAAAUAAAGUAAAGCCAGAAUGGCUAAUAUACAGAAGAUGUUAAGAGGAAUGUAUGAGGAGCUGAAGUACAUAUGCCAUAUACCAGAUGUGGAGUUACUCCAUGCCUCUGGAGACACACUGCAGAGUCUUGAAUCCAUGCAGCUGUAUGCAGACCAGCCUGUGAAUCCAGAACUCAGUGCAGGGCCCAUCACUAGACUAAUCAACAGGCUUAACUGCUUCCAAGUUGAUAUUACUCUGUAUCCAAGAGAGCCAACAGUCUUCCUGUAUGGAGAGUUGAGAAGUAUGAAUGUUGGAUGUAAUCCUCAAG